GACAGAGGCCUCGAGCGUUAGGCGGAAUUACUGGGCGUAAAGCGUGCGCAGGCGGUGAUGUAAGACAGGUGUGAAAUCCCCGGGCUUAACCUGGGAACUGCAUUUGUGACUGCAUCGCUGGAGUGCGGCAGAGGGGGAUGGAAUUCCGCGUGUAGCAGUGAAAUGCGUAGAUAUGCGGAGGAACACCGAUGGCGAAGGCAAUCCCCUGGGCCUGCACUGACGCUCAUGCACGAAAGCGUGGGGAGCAAACAGG
Molecule: ribosomal RNA, 253 nt
Filed under: uncultured bacterium
Lineage: Bacteria
Description: partial 16S ribosomal RNA
Rfam family: Bacterial small subunit ribosomal RNA
Source: RNAcentral